GUGGAUUAGAUACCCUGGUAGUCCACGCCGUAAACGAUGGAUACUAGCUGUUGGGCGCAAGUUCAGUGGCUAAGCGAAAGUGAUAAGUAUCCCACCUGGGGAGUACGUUCGCAAGAAUGAAACUCAAAGGAAUUGACGGGGGCCCGCACAAGCGGUGGAGCAUGUGGUUUAAUUCGAUGAUACGCGAGGAACCUUACCAAGGCUUAAAUGUAGAUUGACCGGUUUGGAAACAGACUUUUCGCAAGACAAUUUACAAGGUGCUGCAUGCUCGUCGCCAACU
This 280-nucleotide ribosomal RNA is filed under the name uncultured bacterium. RNAcentral's name for it is "partial 16S ribosomal RNA". It matches the Rfam family "Bacterial small subunit ribosomal RNA", at positions 773 to 1060 of the family's 1533-position model. The record is from RNAcentral.